AGAAAUGGUAAAUUUGAUUAAUUAUUAUUAUUUAUUUAUUUUUCAUUUUAAAUACACCACACAUACACACACUCCACACAUGCAUAUACACGUACAGAUCUCUCUCUCACACACACACAUCUCACUCUUUCUCUCUCCCUUCUCUCUAUCUUUUUCUCCCUUUCCCUCAAAAGCCAUGGCAGCCGCCCAUUCUCCUCCCUCACCAGCCACUACCACCAAAAGUCGCGGCUCCCUUCUCCCCUUUUCCUAUCGCCCAACAAACCAACUAACUCUGGCGGCCACCUAAAACCACCACCAAACCUCCAACCAGCCGCCAAUGUCGCCCUUCUCCAUCAUACUGCCGCCUCAGAUUUAACCACCGGAAGGCGAGCAACGACGGAGCUUCACUAUUACUUCAUUACCCUUUUCCUUUACUUUGCUUUGCUAUUAUAUAUUAAAAAUAAUGGCAUAGGUCAUUAAUGUCCAGAUAUGGCCGAGUUUUGCAAUUUUAGCGUUGCUCCGGCAUCCGUCGUUGAAGCAACGCCACCAGUCCCUCUUACUAAUUGUGUGUAUUUUUAAUUUUGGUUGCGUAUUCUUUUAUUUUGGACUGAUAUCGUUAUUUUGAGAUUUUUUUUUUGGUGACCUAUUAUUUUAGUUUCUCCCGGUGAACUUGAAAUUUUGAUAAUGAUUUAAUAGUCUAUUUUUUAUGUGCGGUUCUUUUUGAUACUCCCAUGGAUGUGCAUUGCUCUACUUUAUAAUUUGGAGUUGCAUUUUGGAUAGUAUACUUUGACUAUUCUAUUUAUCUAUUUAU
This 790-nucleotide long non-coding RNA is filed under the name Capsicum annuum. RNAcentral's name for it is "long non-coding RNA (CANN_LNC017540)". The record is from RNAcentral. Lineage: Eukaryota; Viridiplantae; Streptophyta; Magnoliopsida; Solanales; Solanaceae.